This 449-nucleotide long non-coding RNA is filed under the name Lathyrus oleraceus (garden pea). RNAcentral describes it as "Pisum sativum (pea) long non-coding RNA (PSAT_LNC005777)". The record is from RNAcentral. Lineage: Eukaryota; Viridiplantae; Streptophyta; Magnoliopsida; Fabales; Fabaceae.
AUUUCUAUUUUUUUAAUUGGUCAAAUAUUCAAAUUUUAGUUAGUUUUAAGUAUUAGCUAUUUAAUUAAAUUUUGGUUAAUUUUUAAUAUUAGUUGAUUUUUAAAUAUUAGUUUAUUCAAUUAAAUAUUAGUUAGAGUUUUUUUUAUUAGUUAGAUUUUGUAAAAUAUUAGUUAGUUUAUUUAAAAUAUUAGUUAGAGUUUUUUAAACAUUAUGUUAAUUAGUUCUUUAUUAAUGUUUUUGUAUAUAAGUGAAUUAUUAGUGUAUUUUAAAAAAAAGAGGGGUUAGCAUUGGAUUCUAUGAUCCUCUUUUCUCUCUUCCAUAAAAAACAAAAAAAGAUCUCUCUUAUCCUAACGUCUCUCUCCACUCACGUUUUUCUGAUUCCCUGCUCCACUCACUCCCCACUAUCUCUCUCCUUCCCCACAUAACGACAAAAAAAGAUACAAAAUGGA